This 82-nucleotide transfer RNA is filed under the name Dallia pectoralis (Alaska blackfish). Its description in RNAcentral is "tRNA-Ser". It matches the Rfam family "tRNA". From Rfam's summary of the family: Transfer RNA (tRNA) molecules are approximately 80 nucleotides in length. The record is from RNAcentral. Lineage: Eukaryota; Metazoa; Chordata; Actinopteri; Esociformes; Umbridae.
GCUGUGAUGGCCGAGUGGUUAAGGCUUUGGAUUUGAAAUCCAAUGGGGUUUCUCUGCGCAGGUUCGAACCCUGCUCUCAGCG